AGUGAACGCUGGCGGUAGGCCUAACACAUGCAAGUCGAACGGCAGCACAGUAAGAGCUUGCUCUUACGGGUGGCGAGUGGCGGACGGGUGAGGAAUACAUCGGAAUCUACUUUUUCGUGGGGGAUAACGUAGGGAAACUUACGCUAAUACCGCAUACGACCUACGGGUGAAAGCAGGGGAUCUUCGGACCUUGCGCGAUUGAAUGAGCCGAUGUCGGAUUAGCUAGUUGGCGGGGUAAAGGCCCACCAAGGCGACGAUCCGUAGCUGGUCUGAGAGGAUGAUCAGCCACACUGGAACUGAGACACGGUCCAGACUCCGACGGGAGGCAGCAGGGGGGAAUAUUGGACAAUGGGCGCAAGCCUGAUCCAGCCAUACCGCGUGGGUGAAGAAGGCCUUCGGGUUGUAAAGCCCUUUUGUUGGGAAAGAAAAGCAGCAGGUUAAUACCCCGCUGUUCUGACGGUACCCAAAGAAUAAGCACCGGCUAACUUCGU
Molecule: ribosomal RNA, 491 nt
Filed under: uncultured bacterium
Lineage: Bacteria
Description: partial 16S ribosomal RNA
Rfam family: Bacterial small subunit ribosomal RNA
Source: RNAcentral